UAGGGAAUCUUGCGCAAUGGGCGAAAGCCUGACGCAGCCAUGCCGCGUGAAUGAUGAAGGUCUUAGGAUUGUAAAAUUCUUUCACCGGGGAAGAUAAUGACGGUACCCGGAGAAGAAGCCCCGGCUAACUUCGUGCCAGCAGCCGCGGUAAUACGAAGGGGGCUAGCGUUGCUCGGAAUUACUGGGCGUAAAGGGCGCGUAGGCGGAUAUUUAAGUUGGGGGUGAAGGCCCGGGGCUCAACCUCGGAAUAGCCUUCAAUACUGGAUAUCUUGAGUUCGGGAGAGGUGAGUGGAAUGCCGAGUGUAGAGGUGAAAUUCGUAGAUAUUCGGCGGAACACCAGUGGCGAAGGCGACUCACUGGCCCGAUACUGACGCUGAGGCGCGAAAGCGUGGGGAGCAAACAGGAUUAGAUACCCUGGUAGUCCACGCCGUAAAACGAUGAGUGCUAGUUGUCGGCAUGCAUGCAUGUCGGUGACGCAGCUAACGCAUUAAGCACUCCGCCUGGGGAGUACGGUCGCAAGAUUAAAAACUCAAAGG
RNAcentral lists this ribosomal RNA (536 nucleotides) under uncultured bacterium. RNAcentral's name for it is "partial 16S ribosomal RNA". It matches the Rfam family "Bacterial small subunit ribosomal RNA", at positions 355 to 907 of the family's 1533-position model. The record is from RNAcentral.